Molecule: ribosomal RNA, 672 nt
Filed under: Inocybe favrei
Lineage: Eukaryota; Fungi; Basidiomycota; Agaricomycetes; Agaricales; Inocybaceae
Description: 16S ribosomal RNA
Rfam family: Bacterial small subunit ribosomal RNA
Source: RNAcentral
CCUAACUGAACAAUAACACAAAUUCACAAUUGUGCUUAUUGUGAUAACGUAAGGGAAAAAAAUGAUAUUACCUUACUAUAAGUGUUGUCUAAAUAACUGGUGCCAGAAGACUCGGUAACACCAGAAACGCGAACGUUAGUCGUCUUAAACAGGCGUAAAGGGUAAGUAGGCUGCUUUAAAGUCUAAAUUUAAAAUAGCUAAUUAGUAAUAUUCCGCUUGCUGCGGAAGCAGCUACUAAAAGUUUUCAGACCUUAAUUUAUAAUUUAAGGCUAACUUAAAAUGAAAAUAGGGAAUUAUUAAGUUCUCUCUCUCUCUAGCUUCUAUGGAGCAAAGGGUGAGGAGGACUAAUAAUAUUAAUUAUUAAAAUUUUAAAAAUAGAUACACUUAAAGCUAGAAUCAUAAUUGAGAUAAACCAAAUAAUACUUAUGUGUAAGGGCGAUAUCUGAAAAUACUAAGUAGAAUACUAACGGUGAAAACUUUUUAUCUGGUAAUGAUAGACGCUGAGGUACGAAAGUGAGAACAGGGAAUAGGAUUAGAUACCCAGUUACCUCUCACCGUCAACGAUGAAUGGUAGUUGUUAGUUUAAUAAAAUUAGUGACGAUGUUAACGCGAUAACCAUUCCGCCUUGAGAGUACGGUUGCAAAACUGAAACCAAAAAAAUUGAUCGGUUCU